RNAcentral lists this transfer RNA (74 nucleotides) under Hyphochytrium catenoides. RNAcentral describes it as "trnN(gtt)". It matches the Rfam family "tRNA". From Rfam's summary of the family: Transfer RNA (tRNA) molecules are approximately 80 nucleotides in length. Their secondary structure includes four short double-helical elements and three loops (D, anti-codon, and T loops). The record is from RNAcentral. Lineage: Eukaryota; Hyphochytriomycetes; Hyphochytriales; Hyphochytriaceae.
UCCCCAAUAGCUAAGUGGUUUAAGGCGGUAGACUGUUAAUCUAAUGAUCACAGGUUCGAAUCCUGUUUGGGGAG